Mugil cephalus (flathead mullet) is the source of this 559-nucleotide long non-coding RNA. RefSeq lists it as uncharacterized. The record is from RefSeq and is a predicted model, not a curated record. The transcript has 3 exons. Lineage: Eukaryota; Metazoa; Chordata; Actinopteri; Mugiliformes; Mugilidae.
AAGCUAAAGGGCCUUAGACGCCGAGGGAAGAUUAUUAGCGCUGGUCACCUGUAGCAUGUAACGCUAGCGCUAGAAGCUAACUUUUAAAGUUUCACGUCGCGUUUUUUGGAGGAUUCACGUUGGUCUCGUUACAUUUUUGUUGUGGAGCUUAAUAAAUCAGCAGUUGGUCAAACUUUCAACCGAAGUCGCUCUUUGCUAAGACGUCAGGAACCACAGCUAACUCACUUCACCGAGUGGCGACUAUGGCCCGGUUGCUUCCAGGGCUGAGUUGGAGGGACAGAGAGAGCCCAGAUACCAACUGCACCCCGAGCUCUGUCACGCUCACUCUAUCGUCCACCACCCUGAUGCUCCUCUCAGCCAUGACCGACGACGUCAGAGGGGACAGCACCUGUGAGACGCAAGAACUCCGCUCAUUGCUUGCUACGCAUGGCUCUUUGGAAUCUGUAAUCCCCAUCGGUGCGUCAUGAAAACAUUCCCAAGUCAAUGCCAGCUCUCAGUGGAAACAAUUAAUUGUGUUACUUAUCGGGAAGUGGUGGCGGCACGAAGAUAAGGACACGAC